Molecule: long non-coding RNA, 218 nt
Filed under: Lathyrus oleraceus (garden pea)
Lineage: Eukaryota; Viridiplantae; Streptophyta; Magnoliopsida; Fabales; Fabaceae
Description: Pisum sativum (pea) long non-coding RNA (PSAT_LNC002731)
Source: RNAcentral
UUUUUUUUUCUUUUUCUUAUUACAUCCACACAACCAUGAGCAUUUUCUUUGAUUUUUUUUUCUUUACUUUUUUCUUUGCUCUAUGGCUUCAAGGGUGUUUUCUUUUUCUUGUUUCUUUUCAAAUUUUUACCCUUUCAUAAAAACUCACUUUUCCAAGUUUCUAAUCAACUUUUCACUUUACUCUCCCCAACUUUAGAUUCCAAAACCAAAUUUAUUCA